This 255-nucleotide ribosomal RNA is filed under the name uncultured bacterium. Its description in RNAcentral is "partial 16S ribosomal RNA". It matches the Rfam family "Bacterial small subunit ribosomal RNA", at positions 524 to 776 of the family's 1533-position model. The record is from RNAcentral.
UACGGGGGGAGCAAGCGUUGUUCGGAUUUACUGGGCGUAAAGGGCGCGUAGGCGGCCUCUGCAAGUCGACUGUGAAAUCUCCGGGCUUAACCCGGAACGGUCAGCCGAUACUGCAGGGCUAGAGUGCAGAAGGGGCAACUGGAAUUCUCGGUGUAGCGGUGAAAUGCGUAGAUAUCGAGAGGAACACCUGCGGCGAAGGCGGGUUGCUGGGCUGACACGUGACGCUGAGGCGCGAAAGCUAGGGGAGCGAACGGG